AUUUUCCAUGCAAGAAAGGCCAGAUAUUGUUGACUAGGGACACGAAAAGAAAAGGACGUGCUACACCUACAGUGUCACACAGCAACCAACCCUGUUCCCAUUCCCCAUCUGAAUCUUUCCAGGAAAUUGCCAGCCACCGGUUCCUUCGCUUGGUUCACAUAAGGAAGCAAGAUUUUAUGCGUAACUGCGAGGAAUAGACAACAUGUUCCCUCUAUUGGCUUUGCUGCAUAGAAGAUGAAAUCAGAAGUCAUGCUUCAGUCAAUAAAAUCGAAGUGAAAAAUCAAACAAGUCAAGUUACAGAAAGUUAUGUGUUGAGUAGAUAAUUUUUUGAUAAAAACAAGUGUUACCUAGACACCGUGGUCGAAUUGAGCAUCACAUAUGCAGAAGCCACCGUUCUAGUGAUGAUUGUUUUUAAAACUGCAAGGCAGGGCCACGUGCUUCGACUCAGCAGGUCAGUGGAGUAAAAAAAAUAAGAAUUCUGAAAAGUAUAGCCUCAGCUUCAGCUGGUAGGAAGAGCAACGACUUUGGAGUCAAUGCCAAAGCAAUAACAGAGCAUGUCCCCCAACCCACCCACCCCCCCACAAACACAAUCCUCCUCACCUAUCGUUCCAGACAUCCAGAUUGCAUCUCUAGGAGACUGCAAACAACAAAAAACCAUGCCAAUCGGAGAAGCUGUUCUGUCUGCCUUCAUGCAGGCACUCUUCGAAAAAGUGAUUGCUACUGCUUUUGGUGAGCUGAAAUUACCUCAAGAUGUGGCUGAGGAGCUGGAGAAACUAUCCAGCAGUCUGUCGACCAUUCAAGCUCACGUUGAAGAUGCUGAGGAGCGGCAGCUGAAGGAUAAGGCGGCACGAAGCUGGCUUGCCAAGCUCAAGGAUGUUGCAUAUGAAAUGGAUGACUUGCUCGAUGAUUAUGGAGCUGAGGCCCUUAGAUCCAAACUAGAAGGCCCGUCCAGCGACAACCAUUUGAGCAAGGUUAGAAGCUGUUUCUGCUGCUUUUGGUUCAACACCUGUUUAUUCAACCACAAGAUUCUGCAAGACAUAAAGAAGGUGGAGGAGAAGCUCAAUAGGCUUGUCAAGGAAAGAGAGAUUAUUGGUCCAAACAUGAUUAGUGCAACAGACAGGAAAGAGAUAAAAGAGAGGCCUGAGACGAGUUCAAUAAUCGAUGACUCAAGUGUGUUUGGAAGAGAAGAAGAUAAGGAGACCAUUGUGAAGAUGUUGCUUAAUCAGAAUAACUCCAACCAUUCCAACCUUUCUAUUCUUCCCAUAGUGGGUAUGGGCGGACUAGGGAAGACGACUCUAACACAGCUUGUCUACAAUGAUACAAGAAUAAAGGAGCAUUUCCAGUUAAGGGUCUGGCUGUGUGUUUCUGAAAAUUUUGAUCAGAUGAAGCUUACCAAGGAAACCAUUGAAUCAGUUGCCAGUGAGUUUGGAUCAACCAUCAUUGGGGUCUCAUCGGUCACGACCAACAUGAACUUGCUCCAAGAAGACCUCUCAAAAAAGCUAAAAGAUAAAAGGUUUCUUCUAGUACUUGAUGACGUAUGGAAUGAGGACCCUGAAAAGUGGGGUACAUAUCGCAGUGCUCUACUUACUGGAGGAAAGGGAAGCAGAAUAGUAGUAACCACAAGGAACAAAAACGUAGGGAAACUAAUGGGUGGGAUGACUCCAUACUAUCUAAAUCAGUUAUCCGACGAUGAUUGCUGGUCUUUGUUCAGGAGCUAUGCAUUUGUGGAUGGUAACUCCAAUGCACACCCAAAUUUGGAAAUGAUAGGCAUGGAAAUUGUGAAGAAGUUGAAAGGCUUACCACUGGCUGCAAAAGCAAUAGGCAGCUUACUGUGUUCCCAGGAUACUGAGGAUGACUGGAAAAAUGUACUAAGGAGUGAAAUAUGGGAACUGCCAUCGGAUAAGAACAACAUAUUACCAGCUCUGAGAUUGAGUUACAAUCAUUUGCCUGCCAUACUGAAGAGAUGUUUCGCAUUUUGCUCAGUCUUUCACAAAGACUAUGUGUUUGAGAAAGACAGGUUGGUCCAGAUAUGGAUGGCCCUUGGGUUUAUUCAGCCUCAGCGGAGGAGAAGAAUGGAAGAGAUUGGAAGUAGCUAUUUUGAUGAAUUACUAAGCAGGUCCUUCUUCCAACAUCACAAAGGUGGAUAUGUGAUGCAUGAUGCUAUGCAUGACCUAGCACAGUCGGUCUCAAGUCAUGAGUGUCUCAGACUGGAUGACCUUCCAAACAACAGCACCUCUGCAAGAAGUGCCAGGCACCUCUCAUUCUCUUGCAAUAAUAGAAGCCAGACUUCAUUUGAAGCUUUUCUUGGAUUUAAGAGAGCACGGACACUUCUACUGCUAAGUGGAUAUAAAUCAAUGACAAGGUCUAUCCCCAGUGAUCUGUUCCUCAAGUUAAGGUACCUCCAUGUGCUCGAUUUGAACCGGCGAGACAUUACUGAGUUGCCAGAUUCUAUUGGAAGCUUAAAAAUGCUUCGAUAUUUGAAUCUCUCGGGCACUGGUAUAGCAAUGUUGCCUUCGUCAAUUGGUAGACUCUUCAGCUUGCAAAUACUUAAGUUGAAAAACUGCCAUCAAUUAGAUUAUCUCCCACAAAGCAUAACAAAUCUUGUAAAUCUUCAAUGGCUAGAAGCAAGAACAGAGUUGGUCACGGGCAUAGCCAGAAUAGGUAACUUAACCUGUCUUCACCAGUUGGAUGAAUUUGUGGUCCGUACAGACAAAGGAUACAAGAUCAGUGAAUUGAAGGCAAUGAAGGAAAUUAGAGGGCAUAUUUGUAUUAAGAAUAUUGAGUGUGUGGCUAGCAUAGAGGAAGCAAUUGGAGCUUUUCUAAGCGAGAAGGCAUUCAUCAGCAUCCUAGACCUUAUCUGGUCCGAUAACAGGAACAUAACAUCAGAAGAAGCAAAUCAAGACAAAGAGAUACUUGAGGCCCUCCGGCCACAUCAUGAACUGAACGAGCUAACUGUCAAGGCAUUUGCAGGCUCCUCCUUCCCGAAUUGGUUUGGUAGUCUUUCCCACUUGCAAACCCUCCACCUGUCUGAUUGCACAAAAUGUUCAACUCUACCAGCACUGGGAGAGCUGCCUCAACUCAAGUAUUUAGAUAUUGGUGGUUUUCCGGCCAUUAUUCAAAUCAGCCAAGAUUUUUCAGGUACCAAUGGAGUUAAGGGGUUUCCAGCACUGAAAGAGCUCGUAUUUGAAGACAUGAGUAAUUUCAAAAGGUGGGCUUCUGUACAAGAUGGUGAAUUUCUUCCAUGCCUCACAGAACUUGCAGUGGUGGACUGCCCAAAAAUAACAGAGUUCCCACCACUUCCAUCAAUGCUAGUGAAGCUCAAAAUUUCUGAAACGGGGUUCACUAUUCUUCCAGAAGUCCAUAUUCCAAACUCCCAGUUUCCAUCGUCGUUAGAAUGCUUACAGAUUCAUCAGUGCCCAAAUCUCACAUCCUUAAAGGAAGGACUGCUUAGCCAGCAAUUAUUGGCUCUCCAGCAGCUAACCAUCACUCACUGUUUAGAUCUAAUUGACCUGCCAGUUGAAGGAUUCAGAUUCCUGUCUGCUCUUAAGAGUCUUCACAUCUAUGACUGUCCAAGGCUGGCACCAUCCGGACAGCAUAGCUUGCUGCCCUCUAAACUUGAAGACUUGCGCAUCAGCUCAUGCUCCAACCUUAUUAACCCUCUUCUUCAAGAGCUUAAUGAGCUCUCCUCGCUGACACAUCUCACCACCGCUGAUUGUGCUAGCCUUCAGUCUUUUCCAGUAAAGCUCCCUGCCACUCUGCAAAAGCUGGAGAUCCUCAAUUGCAGUAAUCUGAUCUGCUUGCCUGCUGGUCUAGAAGAUGCAUCGUGUCUAACAGCUAUAACCAUCUUGAGAUGUCCUCUCAUACCAUGCUUGCCAGGGCGGCUUACAGAGUCAUUGAAAGAACUGUACAUCAAAGAAUGCCCCUUUCUAUCGGAGAGUUGCCAAGAAAACAGUGGAAGAGAUUGGUGUAAAAUUGCUCAUGUACCAAUCAUUGAGAUCGAUGAUGAUACCAACAUACCCAACAACAGCAUACGAAGAAGAUUAUCAUGAAUGCCUCACAGCAAUGCUACACAAAUGGUAUGAACUAGAUAUAUUUUUCUGCUUGUAUUGCAUAAGCAUGUAUUCUCUGCUAACAGUAAACUGCAUAAUAGAACCAAUCCUCUAUAGGUGAUUUUGCAUUCAUUUUUGCACAUAUUUUGCAUGUUAGCACAUAAACAUACUUCGAUUCAAAUGUCUUGCAACACCAAAUCGCAAGCAAUAACUAUACACUAGGAAAUUACUGUAAACAUCAGCUGCAACACUGUAUAGUCAAGCCUUGCAUUCAAAGAAACAUGAACAGAUUUUAAUAGAAAAGUAAAACUAAUGGGAUUGCCAAUUAGAGACUGAGUAAUAACAAUGCAACAAAAAAUAAACCAUCAAAAGAUUCAUUAUCUACCUCCUGUAUCCUAGAAACAUCUAGGUAUUUCAUGUAUUCAGAAAGUUCCAUGUACACAAGUGCGCCAUAGAUCAUCCACCAUGGUCAAGUCACAUAGCUGUCCAUUCAGAAAACAAAAGCCAAACCUUCAGCUGUGAUACGAGAAAGUUUGUUCAUGCGCAGUGCAAGCAUGCAUAGUAGCAAGCUUAUCUGGUCAACAUUUACAAAAUAUGGUUGCAUUAGCUUCUAACUAGCAAACUCCAGAUUAAUAAUUCUAUACUGCCAGUGACAAUUUUCACAAAAUAGACAUAUCACAUAAUAAUGUCCUUACUCUUGGUUAGCAUAUGCCUGUCUAAUGUCUACAGAAUGCAGUUCAAAGCAAAACCUAAAAGAAGAUCAUGUACUCACUUGUACACUUUCUUUUAUCUACUUUCAGAUUAUCGUAUGGAUUCUGGAAAUAUUUUUUGACGACGGUGAUAUUUCAAGAGCACCUUACACUUUACAUCCACCUCCAUCAGAAGACUAAUCUAGCGCAUGUGCAAAACUCAAACAAAUCGAAAACUCAAUGAGUAAUUUUGAGGAAAACAGAGCUAGUACUUUCGGCAGAGGAAGUGGCCAAGACAUUACUGUAUUUAUUAUAUAUGCCUUAUCAUUUUCAGAAAAAUAAGAUAAGUGUGGCCCUUUGUGUUUGUGUAAUUUUGUAAUCUCUCUUCUCGAAUACAUUUCACUCUAUGAUUUUGAGACACCAUAUUUUUUUCCCCUUUCUCUAUAUGACCUCUCAUUCAAUAGCAAAGUCCAUUUUUUCAAGAUCAUACACUACAAUGGGAUACAGUAACAAAUGGAGUGUCAUCAAGAGUAUACAUGCCUAGUUUGUUGUGCGAAAUCCUAAAUGAAACCUAUUCAGUAAAGAAGGGAGUCUAAAAACGGUGAGAACCUGACCUUCAUUUCUGUCAGUAAGCAACAUCAUAUCGAAGUCUGGUGCAUCAACCCGGCAUAGCCAACAGAUUGCAUCUUCCUUCUCCA
Molecule: long non-coding RNA, 5436 nt
Filed under: Triticum aestivum (bread wheat)
Lineage: Eukaryota; Viridiplantae; Streptophyta; Magnoliopsida; Poales; Poaceae
Description: long non-coding RNA (TAES_LNC019592)
Source: RNAcentral